Long non-coding RNA from Pseudophryne corroboree (corroboree frog), 1104 nucleotides. RefSeq lists it as uncharacterized. The record is from RefSeq and is a predicted model, not a curated record. The transcript is spliced from 3 exons. Lineage: Eukaryota; Metazoa; Chordata; Amphibia; Anura; Myobatrachidae.
GUAAAGUCCUGCAGGUGGGAAUGGGAGAUGAUGCCAGGAGAGGAUAGGGGAAGCUCAUCAGCAGAAUAAAGUGGGUGAGUACGGAUUAUUCACCAAUAGGUUGUAGAUGUAGGAAUGGGAGGUGCGUUAGAGGUCUUUAUAGGUGAGGGUAAGUAGUUUGAAAUGUAUUCUGGUAGGAAUGGGAAGCCAUUGGAAUGUUUCACAUAGAGGUAAUGCAGCAGAAGAGGGAUGGAGAGAGGAAUAUUAGUCAUGACCCUGCAUUCAGGACAGACUGCAAAGCAGACAGAUGUGUGAAGGCAUGCCAGAGAAGAAAUUACAGUUAUGAAGGUAGGAAGUGAUUGGAGAAGGUCUUGGUGAAAUCCAGGAAGAUGAAAGUGCAAACCUUGGAAAUAUUCUAAAGAUGGAGGCAACAGGAAUGCACCAGGAACUGGAUGUAGGAAGAGAAGUUGCAGACUGGAGAGGUCGUACAUAUGUACACUCCAAAAGGGCUGGGCUGGGUUCGCGGGCAGGUUCUAAACCAACAGCUUGUCAGAUAAAGGCCUCUUCAAUUGCUGGAUUUUACUGGGUGGGUAAGCUGCUGCCUGACACUUGAGACCAGAAGACUAUGGAUAAAAAUAGCCUCUGCAGCAUCGUGAUGAACGCCAGGCAGCUGAGUCAAUUUUAAAGUGGACUUGGGUUGUUUAACACAGAAUUCAUAAAUUGAAUUAUUAUUAUUUUUUAAAUGUAUUUGUUAAAUAGUUCAUUAGAACUAUACUAUUUAUGCUUUACACCUACAGAACUAUAAAAGACCAAAUAGUUAUUUGGAGAACGGUUAGAUUUAAGGACUAGCAUCGACUACUGGAAAGGGUACAAGUAAGAAUACAUCUAAAAUGAAAGCAACAGAUACAGAUCACACCAUCUACAUGUCCCCUGAAUGGCUCUGGUAUUCAAGCACAGUAGAACUUUAAAGGAGCAGAUUCAAUUAGCCGCAGUGUUUACAGCACAGCUGAAGUUUCAGGUUUAACAUCCGGAGCUAUUCAAUUAUCAGGCGCUUUCCCCACACAGUAAACACAUGGCCAACGCUUGUAAACCCAUAGAUUCAGGAUUUGGGGGGACAUUUACUAA